UUAAGUUCAGCGGGUAUUCCUACCUAAUCCGAGGUCAACAUUUGAUAUGGGGGGUUUUACGGCGUGGAGGCGGGGCAAUAUCCAAAGCGAGACAAAAAGAUUGUGUAAUACGCUUAGAGUGCUCCCUGACUCCGCCAAUGGUUUUCAGGAACUACAGGGUAACCCGUAGACUCCCAACGCUAAGCAACAGAGGCUUAAGG
RNAcentral lists this unclassified non-coding RNA (200 nucleotides) under Hypoxylon sp. Its description in RNAcentral is "partial internal transcribed spacer 2". The record is from RNAcentral. Lineage: Eukaryota; Fungi; Ascomycota; Sordariomycetes; Xylariales; Hypoxylaceae.